GCAGAGCAAGAAGCUGUCAACGAUGGCUUCCGCCGCGCUGCCGGAGGCCGUCGAGCCCAAGAAGAAGGGCAACACCAGGUUCGCCUUCGCCUGCGCCAUCCUCGCCUCCAUGACCUCCAUCCUCCUCGGCUAUGGUACGAACACAAACUCACUUCCCUCAUGACCCGUGUCUUUUGUUUGCCGUGUAGUAGUACGGAAUCUCCCUUUUGUUUUGGUUAGAUUUUGCCUUUUGCAUGGGCUCAUCCGCUCAUACCGGACUUUGCUUUGCAGAUAUCGGGGUGAUGAGCGGGGCGUCGCUGUACAUCCAGAAGGACCUCAAGAUCACCGACAAGGAGCUGGAGGUCCUCAUGGGCAUCCUGAACGUGUACUCCCUCAUCGGCUCCUUCGCAGCGGGGCGCACGUCCGACUGGAUUGGCCGCCGCUACACCAUCGUCUUCGCGGCGGCCAUCUUCUUCGCGGGCGCCUUCCUCAUGGGCUUCGCCGUCAACUACGGGAUGCUCAUGUUCGGCCGCUUCGUGGCCGGCGUCGGCGUCGGCUACGCGCUCAUGAUCGCGCCCGUGUACACCGCGGAGGUGUCCCCCGCGUCGGCCCGCGGCUUCCUGACCUCAUUCCCGGAGGUGUUCAUCAACUUCGGCAUCCUCCUCGGCUACGUGUCCAACUACGCCUUCUCCCGCCUCCCGCUCAAACUCGGCUGGCGCGUCAUGCUCGGCAUCGGCGCGGCGCCGUCCGUCGU
This 733-nucleotide long non-coding RNA is filed under the name Setaria italica (foxtail millet). RNAcentral describes it as "long non-coding RNA (SITA_LNC001621)". The record is from RNAcentral. Lineage: Eukaryota; Viridiplantae; Streptophyta; Magnoliopsida; Poales; Poaceae.